Molecule: ribosomal RNA, 400 nt
Filed under: uncultured fungus
Lineage: Eukaryota; Fungi
Description: partial small subunit ribosomal RNA
Rfam family: Eukaryotic small subunit ribosomal RNA
Source: RNAcentral
GCUUGUCUCAAAGAUUAAGCCAUGCAUGUCCAAGUAUAAACCAAUUUAUACGGUGAAACUGCGAAUGGCUCAUUAAAUCAGUUAUAGUAUAUUUGAUACUCACUUACUACAUGGAUAACCGUGGUAACCCAGAGCUAAUACAUGCAACAACGCCCGACUUUGGAAGGGCAGUAUUUAUUAGAUAGUAAACCGACGUCCUUUACGGGACCUUGAGGUGAUUCAUAAUAACUUGCGGAUCGUAUGGCCUUGCGCCGACGACGUUUCAUUCAAAUUUCUGCCCUAUCAACUAUCGAUGGUAGGAUAGAGGCGUACCAUGGUUAUCACGGGUAACGGAGAAUUAGGGUUCGAUUCCGGAGAGGGAGCCUGAGAAACGGCUACCACAUCCAAGGAAGGCAGCAGG